CAGCACAUUUCGGGCUCCCACUUUCAACUGUUGAGGAGCUAAAACGUUUGGAGGAGAAAUUGAAGAAUCCAGAGGAGGAGAAGAAUUUGACUGUUCUCCUUGGAAUGGUCGGAGGCAUGACUUUGAAAGAUACUGUGGGGCGGGUCCUGAAAAGAGCCAUGAACACCUCGCUGGCGAGACUAAUUAAUUGGAGUGGGGCCAACCAAAAGCCUGCAUUCAAAAGACUAAUUUUGAAAAGUGUGGUCGUGGAUGCAGUCCGCCGGAAUGUCCUAACCAAAAGAUUCCUCCGAAAAGGAGAUAGAGCUCCUCAUCACCAGAUGGCUGCAGCUGGCCUGUGACCGGGAUGGUGGCCGAAGCCAGAGGGCAAACCGGCAGACAUCAUAGAUAAGGGUGUCAAACUCAAAUGCUGUAAAUGUUCAAAAUAGUUUAAAUCCUUGUUGAUUUUACAUUACUGCUGUGACAUUUCACGCAGUAUCUGUUAUUAAAAACUAUUUGUUUUGUAUGUGUGUGUGU
Molecule: long non-coding RNA, 513 nt
Organism: Alosa alosa (allis shad)
Lineage: Eukaryota; Metazoa; Chordata; Actinopteri; Clupeiformes; Clupeidae
Exons: 3
Source: RefSeq, a predicted model, not a curated record